GCGGCUGUAGUGUAGUGGCCUAGCACAUAAGCCUGCCACGUUUGUAACCCGGGUUCAAAUCCCGGCAGCCGCACCA
Molecule: transfer RNA, 76 nt
Filed under: Candidatus Methanofastidiosia archaeon
Lineage: Archaea; Methanobacteriati; Methanobacteriota; Candidatus Methanofastidiosia
Description: tRNA-Gly
Rfam family: tRNA
About the family: Transfer RNA (tRNA) molecules are approximately 80 nucleotides in length. Their secondary structure includes four short double-helical elements and three loops (D, anti-codon, and T loops). Further hydrogen bonds mediate the characteristic L-shaped molecular structure. tRNAs have two regions of fundamental functional importance: the anti-codon, which is responsible for specific mRNA codon recognition, and the 3' end, to which the tRNAs corresponding amino acid is attached (by aminoacyl-tRNA synthetases). tRNAs cope with the degeneracy of the genetic code in two manners: having more than one tRNA (with a specific anti-codon) for a particular amino acid; and 'wobble' base-pairing, i.e. permitting non-standard base-pairing at the 3rd anti-codon position.
Source: RNAcentral